GGGGGGGCCACAUGGCAGUCGAGCGAGAAUUUACGAAUGANAUUUCGAUGGAUUUUGUAAAUGGAAAGCGGCGGACGGGUGAGUAACGCGUAGGUAACCUGCCCCAUACAGAGGGAUAGCCACUGGAAACGGUGAUUAAUACCUCAUAAAACUGAGAAUGCACAUGUAUGCUCAGCCAAAGAUUUAUCGGUAUGGGAUGGACCUGCGUCUGAUUAGUUAGUUGGUGAGGUAACGGCUCACCAAGGCGACGAUCAGUAGCCGACCUGAGAGGGUGAUCGGCCACAUUGGAACUGAGACACGGUCCAAACUCCUACGGGAGGCAGCAGUGGGGAAUAUUGCACAAUGGGCGAAAGCCUGAUGCAGCAACGCCGCGUGAACGAAGAAGGCUCUUGGGUCGUAAAGUUCUGUUCUGAGGGAAGAAGAAAGUGACGGUACCUCAGGAGAAAGCCCCGGCUAACUACAUGCCAGCAGCCGCGGUAAUACGUAGGGGGCAAGCGUUAUCCGGAUUUACUGGGUGUAAAGGGAGCGUAGACGGCAGCGCAAGUCUGGAGUGAAAUGCCGGGGCCCAACCCCGGAACUGCUCUGGAAACUGUGAAGCUGGAGUGCAGGAGAGGUAAGCGGAAUUCCUGGUGUAGCGGUGAAAUGCGUAGAUAUCAGGAGGAACACCGGCGGCGAAGGCGGCUUACUGGGCUGUAACUGACGUUGAGGCUCGAAGGCGUGGGGAGCAAACAGGAUUAGAUACCCUGGUAG
Molecule: ribosomal RNA, 750 nt
Filed under: uncultured bacterium
Lineage: Bacteria
Description: bacterial SSU rRNA
Rfam family: Bacterial small subunit ribosomal RNA
Source: RNAcentral